RNAcentral lists this ribosomal RNA (484 nucleotides) under uncultured bacterium. RNAcentral describes it as "partial 16S ribosomal RNA". It matches the Rfam family "Bacterial small subunit ribosomal RNA", at positions 30 to 507 of the family's 1533-position model. The record is from RNAcentral.
AUUGAACGCUGGCGGCAGGCCUAACACAUGCAAGUCGAGCGGAUGAAGGGAGCUUGCUCCUGGAUUCAGCGGCGGACGGGUGAGUAAUGCCUAGGAAUCUACCUGGUAGUGGGGGAUAACGUCCGGAAACGGGCGCUAAUACCGCAUACGUCCUGAGGGAGAAAGUGGGGGAUCUUCGGACCUCACGCUAUCAGAUGAGCCUAGGUCGGAUUAGCUAGUUGGUGGGGUAAAGGCCUACCAAGGCGACGAUCCGUAACUGGUCUGAGAGGAUGAUCAGUCACACUGGAACUGAGACACGGUCCAGACUCCUACGGGAGGCAGCAGUGGGGAAUAUUGGACAAUGGGCGAAAGUCUGAUCCAGCCAUGCCGCGUGUGUGAAGAAGGUCUUCGGAUUGUAAAGCACUUUAAGUUGGGAGGAAGGGCAGUAAGUUAAUACCUUGCUGUUUUGACGUUACCAACAGAAUAAGCACCGGCUAACUUCGUG